GGAUGGAUCAUUAACACCUAUUCACAAUCGUGACUUUUUGCCGUCGCCUGUCGCCGCGUUUUCUAACGCGGUUGACGGCGGCGACAAAAAAAACCAACGUAGAACUUGUUCAAGUCUCUUUUUCACAUUCGUGUGAAACGCACCAAACGCUGGACCGUGGUGUGCGCAAUGCAUGUGCGUUCGCGCGCCGUGUCUUUCUGCUACCCACGAACCCAGCGGAUCAAUCAUUCUAAAUUGAACUGUGGUGCCUUCUUUCUAUCGCCUGCAGCGCAAAAAAGGUUUUUCUUUUUUUGCGCCGUCGGAGAAAGGAAGACUGUUACACCAACAAUCAAAACAAAAUGAACCAAAAGCACAACUUUUGACAAUGGAUAUCUUGGCUCACGCACCGAUGAAGAGCGCAGCGAAAUGCGAUACGUAAUGUGAAUUGCAGAUGUCUGUGAAUCAUCAAGAUCUUGAACGCAAGUUGCGCCGCCUACAGCGGCAUGUCUGUUCGAGUUAUGGUAACAACAAAACUUCCUCUUGCACGCGCGUGCGCGUGCAGCAGGAGAAAUGACGGUUCGCCGCUUUCCACUCGCGCACCCGUUUUUCCUCGUUGCCUUUGUGCUGCGACGAAAAAUGUGGCGCCGCGAUGGUGUGGUGAUCCGUUGAAUUGCAUGUGAUCGAGCGACCUUGAGUCACGCACGUCAACGAGAAGAAGGGAGGAGAGCAAUCUCCUCCCUUUCUCGGCAGGCGGUGUCGUCGUUCCAACGUCAAGCUAAGUGUAUACUCUUGCACCUAUUCUGACGCUUGGGCUGGCAUCUGCUCUGUUCUGGCAUGCACUCUGCGCACGGUCAUUCCACCUUUUCUUUUUUGAAAAGACAAGCUUCGGCUUGUGUUUUUUACAAAAUCAUACUCGAAUCAGGCAAGACUACCCGGUGAACUUAAGCAUAUUACUAACCGGAGGAAAAGAAACUAACUAGGAUACCCUUAGUAAGGGCGACUGAAGUGGGUAGAGCUCAGGUUUAAAAUCUGCCAGGCUCCCUGGCCGAAUUGUAGUCUUGAGAACGGCAUCCUGAGAGCAGGCUGGGAGAAGUCCUUUGGAACAAGGCGCCAGAGAGGGUGAGAGCCCCGUAAACCGCCCAGCUGGAAGCUUUCUUACGUUUGCUGUUCAUAGAGUCGGGUUGUUUGGGAAUGCAGCCUUAAAUGGGUGGUAAAUUCCAUCUAAAGCUAAAUAUUGGCGUGAGACCGAUAGCGAACAAGUACCGUGAGGGACAGAUGAAAAGAACUUUGAAAAGAGGGUUAAACCAGUGCUUGAAAUUGUCAAAAGGGAAGGGGUUGGCUCCAGUAUUGAAGCGCGUCCGUUUCAAGCUUGCAGGCGAUACACGGGCCCGUCCGGGAGGUGCUGCCAAGUAUCAUCGGGCGGAGAACGCGUGUUGCCUGUGGGUGGUAUUACUGGCGCGUUUCGGUCAGCAUGGGUUGGUGCCUCGCGCGCGGGAGAAGGGCGGUCGGAAGGUAGGUUGCCUGCGGGUGACUGUUAAGACGGCCGUCAGGAUACCGUGCGCCCGACUCAGGGAAAGGAAGCGUGUGCCACGGCUGGGCUCCGUGGGUGCACGGCGGGUCGCGGGGUGGGAGACUGGUACAGUGUCUUGCUCCGCGGUCUGUCGGCAUGCGCCCACGUUCCACAUGCACGCUCUAGAUGCUGUCAAAAUGGAGUCAACUCUCCCGUCUUGAAACACGGACCAAGGAGUCUAACAUAUGUGCGAGUGUUAAGGUGGCAAACCUUAGCGCGGAAUGAAAGUGAAGGCGGACUCGGUCCGCCGAGGUGGGAUGCGAACAGCUGCACCAUCGACCGAUCUGGAUAUUUUUUGAAAGAUUUGAGUAAGAGCAUGUAUUUUAGGACCCGAAAGAGGGUGAACUAUGCCUGUAUAGGGUGAAGCCAGAGGAAACUCUGGUGGAGGCUCGUAGCGAUACUGACGUGCAAAUCGUUCGUCAAAUAUAGGUAUAGGGGCGAAAGACUAAUCGAACUCUCUAGUAGCUGGUUCCCUC
This 2025-nucleotide unclassified non-coding RNA is filed under the name uncultured fungus. RNAcentral's name for it is "sequence contains 18S rRNA gene, ITS1, 5.8S rRNA gene, ITS2, 28S rRNA gene". The stretch from base 888 to 2025 matches the Rfam family "Eukaryotic large subunit ribosomal RNA", at positions 1 to 961 of the family's 3401-position model. The record is from RNAcentral. Lineage: Eukaryota; Fungi.